CCUACGGGUGGCAGCAGUGAGGAAUAUUGGUCAAUGGGCGCGAGCCUGAACCAGCCAAGUCGCGUGAAGGAUGACUGCCCUACGGGUUGUAAACUUCUUUUAUAAAGGAAUAAAGUGAGGCACGUGUGCCUUUUUGUAUGUACUUUAUGAAUAAGGAUCGGCUAACUCCGUGCCAGCAGCCGCGGUAAUACGGAGGAUCCGAGCGUUAUCCGGAUUUAUUGGGUUUAAAGGGAGCGUAGAUGGGAUGUUAAGUCAGUUGUGAAAGUUUGCGGCUCAACCGUAUAAUUGCAAUUGAUACUGGCAGGCUUGAGUGCAGUUGAGGUAGGCGGAAUGCGUGGUGUAGCGGUGAAAUGCAUAGAUAUCACGAAGAACUCCGAUUGCGAAGGCAGCUUACGAAGCUGCCACUGACGUUGAUGCUCGAAAGUGUGGGUAUCAAACAGGAUUAGAUACCCGGGUAGUC
RNAcentral lists this ribosomal RNA (460 nucleotides) under uncultured bacterium. RNAcentral's name for it is "partial 16S ribosomal RNA". It matches the Rfam family "Bacterial small subunit ribosomal RNA", at positions 338 to 795 of the family's 1533-position model. The record is from RNAcentral.